Long non-coding RNA from Bubalus bubalis (water buffalo), 1261 nucleotides. RefSeq lists it as uncharacterized. NCBI's taxonomy places the organism in Eukaryota, Metazoa, Chordata, Mammalia, Artiodactyla, Bovidae. The record is from RefSeq and is a predicted model, not a curated record. The transcript has 3 exons.
ACUUGUAGUUCUUGUGGGGCACUUCGGGCGUGCCUUGGGCAGGCUGUCCCCGCGGCCCCAGAGGAUAAAAGAGGAUCCUCUCUAAGCUGGGUGACCCGGCAUUAGGCGUUUCCUCUAGAGCUAGCAGGGAGGCCGGGCUUCUAACUCUGCGUGUUGCGCCACCGGAACUUAACUUCAUCGUUUCUUUGUGUGCGGACGCCUUUCAAAUGCAGGACCUUGAAGGCUGAGUCCGCAGUUCCCGCAUCUCUUCCACCGCGCCCCGGAGCUGAGAUGCUUGCUUUCCUUCAUGCUGCCGUGGCGCUGCCUGUGGAUUAUCUGCAGAGUGCCUUAUCUUGCUUCUCCUCCAGUUCCUGUCCAGCACUACGUCUAAGCCCCCUCCCCUCCCUCAACCCCUCAAUUACCGAGCUCAAAAAGAACGAUUGCCUUUCUCACUUGAAUCCACUCCUAUUCUCUUCUUCAGACCUCCAGAGCAGAGCUAAAUACAGUGGGUAUUUUAAAGAAUCUACUGUGCAGACCGCUCCCCUCUUCCUGCAGGAGGAUGGACAAAAAGAAUCUGGGAAUUGAAAUCUGUGAGGCUUGUGCGUCAGGCAUGUGCCUGAUAAAACUGCAAGCAUUCAUUCGGGGCAGAAACUGACGGUGGGAAUCUGGAGGAUACCUGAUAAAUUCUCCCCCAGUGUGGAUACCUAGGCAAAUAUUUCUAUAUUAACAAAAAGGAGGCCUAGCACCAAGGGACAUGAUGGACCCAGGACAGGCUGCAACCACCCUGGCAUCAAAGGAAAAGUAUUUUUGUGCAUUAGAAGACUUGUGAUCAAGAGGGGAACUGACAAAAAUCUUCUCACUGAGGUAUGGGUUGCUAGAAUAAUGCUACUGAAGUAAGGUUCAGACACUACUUUGGUGGACCCCAAAACAGACCUAGCUCUAGCAACAAGAGAAUUUCACUCCUCUAAUUCAGGAAACUGAAACAUCCAUUCUCAGCAGGAAGCAAUUACAGAGGUCUUAACUUCAGUCCCAUACCCCUCAAGACUGAAGACUGAAAUUUCUUAAAGGGGGAUUUUGUAAGCAGAUUGGGUAGAAGGUCCCCACAGAAAGAAAACUAGGCAUGACUUUCUUGACAAAGAGAAGCCGCUUUUGGCCUAAGUCAUUUUGUAAUCUAAGCCUGACCACAGUGCUUGUCCUUGGACAGAUCUCAGUAAUUAAUAAUCUUAAUCAAGAUUGCCGGGAGAAAUAUCAAUAACCUCAGAUAUGCAGAUGACACCACCCU